This 1191-nucleotide ribosomal RNA is filed under the name Bacillus cytotoxicus. RNAcentral's name for it is "bacterial LSU rRNA". It matches the Rfam family "Bacterial large subunit ribosomal RNA", at positions 171 to 1359 of the family's 2925-position model. The record is from RNAcentral. Lineage: Bacteria; Bacillati; Bacillota; Bacilli; Caryophanales; Bacillaceae.
UAAGGAGGACAGACCCAGGGAACUGAAACAUCUAAGUACCUGGAGGAAGAGAAAGCAAAUGCGAUUUCCUGAGUAGCGGCGAGCGAAACGGAACAUAGCCCAAACCAAGAGGCUUGCCUCUUGGGGUUGUAGGACAUUCUAUACGGAGUUACAAAGGAACGAGGUAGACGAAGCAGUCUGGAAAGGCUCGUCAUAGAAGGUAACAACCCUGUAGUUGAAACUUCGUUCCCUCUUGAAUGAAUCCUGAGUACGGCGGAACACGUGAAAUUCCGUCGGAAUCUGGGAGGACCAUCUCCCAAGGCUAAAUACUCCCUAGUGAUCGAUAGUGAACCAGUACCGUGAGGGAAAGGUGAAAAGCACCCCGGGAGGGGAGUGAAAGAGAUCCUGAAACCGUGUGCCUACAAAUAGUCAGAGCCCGUUAACGGGUGAUGGCGUGCCUUUUGUAGAAUGAACCGGCGAGUUACGAUCCCGUGCGAGGUUAAGCUGAAGAGGCGGAGCCGUAGCGAAAGCGAGUCUGAAUAGGGCGUUUAGUACGUGGUCGUAGACCCGAAACCAGGUGAUCUACCCAUGUCCAGGGUGAAGUUCAGGUAACACUGAAUGGAGGCCCGAACCCACGCACGUUGAAAAGUGCGGGGAUGAGGUGUGGGUAGCGGAGAAAUUCCAAUCGAACCUGGAGAUAGCUGGUUCUCCCCGAAAUAGCUUUAGGGCUAGCCUCAAGUGUAAGAGUCUUGGAGGUAGAGCACUGAUUGGACUAGGGGUCCUCAUCGGAUUACCGAAUUCAGUCAAACUCCGAAUGCCAAUGACUUAUCCUUGGGAGUCAGACUGCGAGUGAUAAGAUCCGUAGUCAAAAGGGAAACAGCCCAGACCGCCAGCUAAGGUCCCAAAGUGUGUAUUAAGUGGAAAAGGAUGUGGAGUUGCUUAGACAACUAGGAUGUUGGCUUAGAAGCAGCCACCAUUUAAAGAGUGCGUAAUAGCUCACUAGUCGAGUGACUCUGCGCCGAAAAUGUACCGGGGCUAAAUACACCACCGAAGCUGCGGAUUGAUACCUUUGGUAUCAGUGGUAGGGGAGCGUUCUAAGGACAGUGAAGUCAGACCGGAAGGACUGGUGGAGUGCUUAGAAGUGAGAAUGCCGGUAUGAGUAGCGAAAGACGGGUGAGAAUCCCGUCCACCGAAUGCCUAAGGUUUCCUGAG